AGGAAUAUUGGUCAAUGGACGAGAGUCUGAACCAGCCAAGUAGCGUGAAGGAUGACUGCCCUAUGGGUUGUAAACUUCUUUUAUACGGGAAUAAAGUGAGGCACGUGUGCCUUUUUGUAUGUACCGUAUGAAUAAGGAUCGGCUAACUCCGUGCCAGCAGCCGCGGUAAUACGGAGGAUCCGAGCGUUAUCCGGAUUUAUUGGGUUUAAAGGGAGCGUAGGCGGACGCUUAAGUCAGUUGUGAAAGUUUGCGGCUCAACCGUAAAAUUGCAGUUGAUACUGGGUGUCUUGAGUACAGUAGAGGCAGGCGGAAUUCGUGGUGUAGCGGUGAAAUGCUUAGAUAUCACGAAGAACUCCGAUUGCGAAGGCAGCUUGCUGGACUGUAACUGACGCUGAUGCUCGAAGGUGUGGGUAUCAAACAGGAUUAGAUACCCUGGUAGUCCACACAGUAAACGAUGAAUACUCGCUGUUUGCGAUAUACAGUAAGCGGCCAAGCGAAAGCGUUAAGUAUUCCACCUGGGGAGUACGCCGGCAACGGUGAAACUCAAAGGAAUUGACGGGGGCCCGCACAAGCGGAGGAACAUGUGGUUUAAUUCGAUGAUACGCGAGGAACCUUACCCGGGCUUGAAUUGCAACUGAAUGAUGUGGAGACAUGUCAGCCGCAAGGCAGUUGUGAAGGUGCUGCAUGGUUGUCGUCAGCUCGUGCCGUGAGGUGUCGGCUUAAGUGCCAUAACGAGCGCAACCCUUAUCGAUAGUUACCAUCAGGUUAUGCUGGGGACUCUGUCGAGACUGCCGUCGUAAGAUGUGAGGAAGGUGGGGAUGACGUCAAAUCAGCACGGCCCUUACGUCCGGGGCUACACACGUGUUACAAUGGGGGGUACAGAAGGCAGCUACACGGCGACGUGAUGCUAAUCCCGAAAGCCUCUCUCAGUUCGGAUUGGAGUCUGCAACCCGACUCCAUGAAGCUGGAUUCGCUAGUAAUCGCGCAUCAGCCACGGCGCGGUGAAUACGUUCCCG
Molecule: ribosomal RNA, 1016 nt
Filed under: uncultured bacterium
Lineage: Bacteria
Description: bacterial SSU rRNA
Rfam family: Bacterial small subunit ribosomal RNA
Source: RNAcentral